This 1388-nucleotide long non-coding RNA is filed under the name Zonotrichia albicollis (white-throated sparrow). Its description in RNAcentral is "lncRNA (ENSZALG00000002756.1)". The record is from RNAcentral. Lineage: Eukaryota; Metazoa; Chordata; Aves; Passeriformes; Passerellidae.
CUCCCAGGCUUGGUUUUCUCCAUCCUUGAGAAUAAAUUUCCCACACAUUUUCCCACAUUUUUGGAUCUCUGUGUGUGUGUGUCUCAGUGGCAGCGCCGAGGACGCGGUGUCACCGCCCCUGUGCCAAGGUGUGGGAUCUCAGGAUCUGAGUCCUGAGAUGCUGAGCCUCCGAGACCACCCUUGGGGGGCCCGGGAGUCCUGGAAUGUUGCCAGAAGUGUUUGGUGGCAGGACUUUGACCCUACACGGGAGACGACACCUUUAUGAAGAUAAGAGGACUUCACCGGGGUGAAUGGCAAAGAGAUUAGCUAAUUAGAGGGUGAGACACAGGGUUUAGGAUUUAUGUACAGGGGGGUUUAGAGGAGUAAGAUGGAGGAAUUGGGGUGUGUCCUGUCCUNGUUUGGGAUCCCUCUGUUCCUCAGGGAUUUCCCUCUGAUCCCAAGGGGGGUUUCUCUCUUUUAGGGUUUCUCCCCUGUUAAUUCUGAUCCCCCUGGAAGGCAGCUCCUCCCAGGGAAUUCAGACCCGGAUUUGGGGUCGGGAUUGGGAUUUCCCCAUGGAAAAAGGGUCUGAUCCCCCUGGAAGGAUUUCCCUAUGGAAAAAGGGUCUGAUCCCCAUGGGAUUUCCCCAUGGAAAAAGGGUCUGAUCCCCCUGUAGGGAAGCUUCUUUCAGUGGGUUCAGAUCCAGAUUUGGGAUUGGGAUUUCCCAAUGUUAAAAGGGUCUGAUCCUUCUGGAAGGAUGCUCCUUUCAGUGGGUUCAGGCCUGGAUUUGGGAUUGGGAUUUCCCCAUGGAAAAGGGGUCUGAUCCCCAUGAAAGUAAGCUCCUCCCAAGGGGUUCAGACCCGGAUUUGGGAUUGGGAUUUCCUCAUGGAAAAAGGGUCUGAUCCUUCUGGAAGAAUGCUCCUUUCAGUGGGUUCAGAUCCAGAUUUGGGAUUGGGAUUUCCCUAUGGAGAAAUGGUCUGAUCCCCAUGGGAUUUCCCCAUGUUAAAAGGGUCUGAUCCCCCUGUAGGGAAGCUCCUUUCAGGGGGUUCAGACCUGGAUUUGGGAUUGGGAUUUCCCCAUGGAAAAAGGGUCUCACCCCCAUGGGAUUUCCCCCUGGGAUUCCCCUGGAAGGAUGCUCCUUUCAGUGGGUUCAGAUCCAGAUUUGGGAUUGGGAUUUCCCCAUGGAAAAAGGGUCUGAUCCCCCUGUAAGGAUGCUCCUCCCAGGGAAUUCAGACCUGAAUUUGGGAUCGGGAUUGAGCUUUCCCUAUGGAAAAAGGGUCUGAUCCUCCUGGAAGGAUACUCGUCCCACAGGGUUCAGAUCCAGAUUUGGGAUUGGGAUUUCCCCAUGGAAAAGGGGUCUGAUCCCCCUGUAAGGAAGCUCCUCCCAGGGAAUUCAGACCCGGAUUUGGGAU